CCAAAAAAAGGCAAACCCGCGACCAUUUUCUUUCAGUCAGUCCCAUCCUUCAGCUCAGUCAAGAGUCACAAAAAAGGACAGAGAGAUGCUGACAGACCAUCUUCCACAUCUCUAACCGUCACUCGAGCCCCAGAAACUAAAGCAACAGAGCAAAGGCAGCGAGUGGUGGCAAAUGACAACAGGAUGGCUGUAAUACUAUGAGCCUAAAAGGAAGACAAAAAUGGCAUUGAUGUCAUUCGAACAACGAUCCUGGCAUAUCUAUUAACAUUAUGAAAGGAAGAGUCAGCAGAUGCUUUCAAGACACACAAGGU
RNAcentral lists this long non-coding RNA (311 nucleotides) under Sinocyclocheilus anshuiensis. Its description in RNAcentral is "lncRNA (ENSSANG00000013252.1)". The record is from RNAcentral. Lineage: Eukaryota; Metazoa; Chordata; Actinopteri; Cypriniformes; Cyprinidae.